This 272-nucleotide ribosomal RNA is filed under the name uncultured prokaryote. RNAcentral's name for it is "partial 16S ribosomal RNA". It matches the Rfam family "Bacterial small subunit ribosomal RNA", at positions 524 to 795 of the family's 1533-position model. The record is from RNAcentral.
UACGGAGGAUCCGAGCGUUAUCCGGAUUUAUUGGGUUUAAAGGGUGCGCAGGCGGGAGAUUAAGUCGGCGGUGAAAUUUUGCAGCUCAACUGUAAAAGUGCCUUCGAAACUGGUUUCCUUGAGUGUAGAUGAAGUAGGCGGAAUUUGUGGUGUAGCGGUGAAAUGCUUAGAUAUCACGAGGAACUCCGAUUGCGCAGGCAGCUUACUAAACUACUACUGACGCUCAGGCACGAAGGCGUGGGGAUCAAACAGGAUUAGAUACCCGCGUAGUU